GGGGAUGUAGCUUAGUGGUAAAGCCUCUGCCUUCCAAGCAGAUGAUGCGGGUUCGAUUCCCGUCAUCCCCUCCA
Molecule: transfer RNA, 74 nt
Filed under: Rhodococcus maanshanensis
Lineage: Bacteria; Bacillati; Actinomycetota; Actinomycetes; Mycobacteriales; Nocardiaceae
Also listed under: 7 other names
Description: tRNA-Gly
Rfam family: tRNA
About the family: Transfer RNA (tRNA) molecules are approximately 80 nucleotides in length. Their secondary structure includes four short double-helical elements and three loops (D, anti-codon, and T loops). Further hydrogen bonds mediate the characteristic L-shaped molecular structure. tRNAs have two regions of fundamental functional importance: the anti-codon, which is responsible for specific mRNA codon recognition, and the 3' end, to which the tRNAs corresponding amino acid is attached (by aminoacyl-tRNA synthetases). tRNAs cope with the degeneracy of the genetic code in two manners: having more than one tRNA (with a specific anti-codon) for a particular amino acid; and 'wobble' base-pairing, i.e. permitting non-standard base-pairing at the 3rd anti-codon position.
Source: RNAcentral